Long non-coding RNA from Engraulis encrasicolus (European anchovy), 879 nucleotides. RefSeq lists it as uncharacterized. The transcript has 12 exons. The record is from RefSeq and is a predicted model, not a curated record. Lineage: Eukaryota; Metazoa; Chordata; Actinopteri; Clupeiformes; Engraulidae.
UAUAUUAACGAGGCGCUGCUGCUAGUUCAUUCUCUGUAGGUCGUGAACGAUGUGGAUGCCACUGAGACUGAUGUGUAGAUUUGCGCAAAUGGCUGGCCUUCAUGUUUUCCAUGUUUGUUUAGUCUGUGAUUCUGUCAGACCCUGCAUUAUAUGUGUCGGAACUUGACUUGAAAAGUCGAUAUAGGCUGUAUUAGACCUAGGGGUUUUGAGUUAGCAUGGAGUUUGGGUGACACGUGGUGUGCAACCAAAUCAGCCUAAGCGGACCGGACACUGAUGAUUAUAAACUCUUAUGACCGUCUUGCGGAGAUGAGUUUGUCCGAAGGUCACGAGCGGUAACUGCGGCCAAACGAUGCGUCUAGGUGUGGGUACUUCAAAUCGGACCGAACUUUUUUGACUGUCAUGCGGAGAUGAGUUUGUCCGAAGGUCACUAGCGGGAACUGCGGCCAAACGAAGUGCGCCAAAUAUAGGUGGGUGCAGCAUAGAUGCACAUAUGCAGAAGAGUAGCCUUUGGCUGUCUUGCGGAGAUGAGUUUGUCCGAAGGUCACGAGCAGGAACUGCGACCUAACCAAGUGCGCCAAAUAUAGUUGGGUGCAGCAUCUCGCACAUAUGCAGAAGAGUAGCCUUUGACUGUCUUGCUGAGAUGAGUUUGUCCGAAGGUCACGACCCUGAACUGCGGCCAAAUGUGCCUAGGUGAGGGUCACAGUAAGGAAAGGAAGAUGACAAAUAUCACUCGCAGGUGAGGUCUUAACGUUUUCCACUCCGUGUGCGCGUGAGGGUCACAAUAAGGAAGAUGUGAAGCAUCACUCAGGUGAGGUCUUGGCAUUGUCUUUCAAUGGAUGGUUUGGUGUACACGUUUGCAAUAAAAUUAAAUCAAAUGAA